This is a long non-coding RNA of Mobula hypostoma (lesser devil ray), 5065 nucleotides long. RefSeq lists it as uncharacterized. Lineage: Eukaryota; Metazoa; Chordata; Chondrichthyes; Myliobatiformes; Myliobatidae. The transcript has 4 exons. The record is from RefSeq and is a predicted model, not a curated record.
CACACCGGUGUGACACUUAAUGCCAACCGCCUUCCGCGACUGGUGCACUGCAACGCUAGAUCUGUGCAAUGCUGACCUGGCCUGCUGAGUCCUUUUAGUAUUCCAUGUGUGUCGGAUAGUCCAUGCCCAGCACCAGAUUCUGGAAACUGAUGUUGUACUCCUUUCUGAGCUCUGCCACAAGUAGAGAUUGCCAAUUGACAGAAGAAAAGAUUUACAGGGUGCACUCAAAAUCUCCUUGGCAAAGAUGCAACAUCCCCACUGACUAAUGAAAUUCCUGGUCCGUGUCCUCUGGAAGUGGAGCAGAAGCAUUUGAAUGGUACCAUAAACCUCUUGUCCAUGGAUCAGCAAGAAAUGAAAGAUCUUGUGCUGAGCUGGAGCUCACUUAGUUUCAUGAAGUUUUGUGCUGCAAGGAAGAAAGGAAAGAAUGAGACCUUUUAAAUUUAUACUCAGAACCUGAGCAUUACUGGUAUCGUCUUUUGAAGAUGUCCUUGCUGCUGGGAGGCUACUGCCUGUGAUGGAGCUGGCUGCGUUACUUACUGCUGCUGUGGCCCCUCCAUACCAAACAGUGAUGCAACCAAUUAGAUUGCUUUCCAUAGUACAUCUGUAGAAAUUUGCGAGAGUCUUUGGUGGCACACCAAAUCUACUCAAACUCUUACUGAAAUAAUGCUGCUAUCGUACCUUCUUUGUAAUUGCAUCAAUAUGUUGGACCCAGGAUAGAUCUUCAGAGAAUUGAAACUGCUCACUCUUUCCACUGUUGAUCCUUCAGUGAGAACUUCCUCUUCUUGAAGUCCACAAUCAAUGUCUUGGUCUUACUGACGUUGAAUUUUAGGUUGUUGUUGCAACACCAUUCAACCAGCUGAUCUGUCUCACUCCUGUAUGCUUCCUCCACACUACCUGAAAUUCUGCCAACAAUAGUUGUGUCAUUGGCAAAUUGAGCUGUACUUAGCCACAUGGUUCUGGGUGUAGAGUGAGCAGAGCUGUGGGCUAAGCAUGCAUCCUUGAUGUGUGCCAGUGUUGAUUGUCAGCGAGGAGGAGAUGUUAUUUCCGAUCUUCACUGGCUGUGGUCCUCCGAUGAAGUCAAGGAUCCAAUUGCAGAAGAAGGAACAGAGGCCCAGGUUUUUAAGUUCAAGUUCAGAUUUAAUUGUCAUUCAACCAUACAUGAAUACCCAUGAAUACAGCCAAACAGAACAGUGUUCCUCCAGGGUCAAGGUGAAAACACAGUACCAACAGUCAUAAACAGCACAAGGCACAUACAGCUCAUGUAAUGACGAUAGCAAUAAACAUAUAGUCACAAAAAAAUAGCCCACGUCCCUAUGUGUCAUGUCCUGUAGAACGGUGAUGCAUGAGAUGUUGUCAGCAAGAACCAGCCUACAGCAGUCCCAUCAUUACACGCUGGUGCAGUUGCAGACAAAUGCAAUCAAGCUUGUCUUUCACCGAGCAAACACUGGAGAGCAGCACCUACAGGAAUGGCCAUCCCCUAACCCAGCAUGGAUGCCUGUCGUGCCACAUCAUCUCCCCCAGUUGUUUGCAGCUGGAGAGGUUGCUGUGACCGAGCGUGUUGCUGUCUUACCAAAGGACCAUGCAGUAUUGACCUCUUGUGAAAUAAAGUAGGGCAAGUGAUUGAAGUGCCAGUGGGGGAGCACUUUGAAACCAGUGAUCAUAAUUCUAUUAGUUUUGAAAUUGUUAGGGAAAACUGAUCCACAUAUUGGGGCAGGGCCUAUUUAGAUGGUAUAAUACAGGAACUUACAGAAGUUCAUUAGGGAAGACGGUUUGCAGAUAAGGGGAAUGUUGCCAAGAGGAAAGCUUUUAAAAGUGAGAAAGUAAAAGCUCAGGGACUGCAUGAUCCUGUUCCAUGUUCGUCCAUCAUCGAUGUUGAUGAAGACUCGACACCAUUGAUGGUGUCAAGACUAGGGCGUGGUCUGGAUUUAAGUGAGGAAGAGUUGCGCAGUGUCAGCCUCACUCUCUCUUCCCAAUUCCCAUCUGGAACCAGUGACAAGACAGAAUCGAGACGGCUGGAGAUGGGACUAGGUGCAGUGGAUGACCAGGACGUCUUCUGUGUCUUGUCGUGCUCUACAUGUUCCAUGACGCUUGCAGAGACUGUUGGACCUUCCAUUGGUCUCGUCUGCUCAAUCCGCUGGAGUCUGUCUUUGGGACCCGUCGGCUACCCUCACCUGGUUUAGCCGGCUUGUCGAAGCCGUUGCCCGGGGGGUGGCUGCUGUCACAUGCAAACAGCUACAGGGAGCCACAAGUGAGAGCUGAGUGCCAGGUGGGGACCAAAGGUGGACAAAUUGCCUUGAAAAGGACGCGACAUGUUUCCCCACCAGAGGUGCUACCCCUCCCUGACACCCCAUACACCAUUUUUAGAGAGAAGGGUAAGGCUGACGCAGGGCCAGGGCUGCUGAGCAAUAGUGAAGAACUGGGGAAGAAAAGGGAGGCAGUUGUCAGGUACAGGCAGGUGGGAUCAAGUCAGUCCUCGAGGAGUGUAGGGGGUGUAGAAGUAUCCUUAUGAAGGAAAUUAGGAGGGAAGAAGGGACAUCAAGUAGCUUCUGCAAUAAGGAUAACCUAAAGAGAUUCUACAAGUAUGUUAAGGGCAGUAGAGUAACUGGGGAGAGGAUGGGGUCAACAAGGUCAUCUACAGAAAGUGAGAAUCUAUAGGAGAUGGGUGAGGUUCUUAAAGAAUAUUUCUCUUCUGUAUUUACCACAGGGAACGAUAUGGAUGCUAGGAAACUCCGGAAGUUAGAACAUAGAAUAUAAUACAGCCCAGUACAGGCCCCUCGGCCAACGAGGCUGCAUCAACUUUUUAACCUACUCUAAGAACAACCUAACCAUUCCAUCCUACAAAGCCUUCCAUUUUCUAUCACCCAUAUGCCUAUCUAAGAGUUUCUUAAAUGAUCCAGUUGUAUCUGCCUGGGUCAUUUUUUACAUUCUUUGUAAAAAAAAACUAACCUCUGACAUCCUCCCUAUACUUUCCUCUGAUCACCUUAAAAUUAUGACCCCUCGUAUUAGCCAUUUCUGCCUGGGAAAAAGUCUCUGAUUAUCCACUUGAUCUAUGCCUUUUAUCACCUUGUACACCUCUAUCAAGUCACCUCUCAUUCCUCUAGCUUUAAAGAGAAAAACCCAAGCUUGCUCAGUCUAUUUUUGUUGGACAUGCUCCCCAACCUGGUAAAUCUGCUCUGCACCCUCUGUAAAACUUCCACAUCCUUCCUAUAAUGAAGUGAUCAGAAGUGAACACAAUAUUCCAAGAGUGGUCUAAAGAGGGUUUGAUAGAGCUGCAACAUUACUUUGCAGCUCUUGAACUGAGUCUCCUGACUGAUAAAGGCCAACAACAACAUACACCUUCUUAACAACCUUAUCACCUUCCGUGACAACCUGGACGGAACUAUGGAUGUGAACUCCGAGAUCCCUCUGUUCCCUCAGACUACUAACAAUCCUGCCAUUACCUAUGUAUUUUCUGCCUUGCAAUUUGACCUUCCAAAGUGAAUGAUUUGCACUUUUCCAGGUUGAGCUCUAUCUGCCACUUCUCAGACCAACUCUGCAUCCUGCCAAUGUCCCAUUGAAACCUAUGAUAACCCUCCACACUAUACACAACUCCACCAAACUUUGUGUCAUCUGCAGAUUUACUAACCCACCCUUCUACUUCCUCAUCCAAGUCAUGUAUAAAAAAACACACCCAAAGAGCAGGGGACCCAGAACAAAUCCCUGCAGCACACCACUUGUCACAGAUCUCUAGACCUCUACAACCUAUGCCUUCUCUGGACAAGCCAAUUCUGUAUCCAUACAAUCAGGUUUCCCUGGAUCCCAUGCCUCCCAGCUUUCUGAAUGAGCCUACCCUUUGGGAAACCUUAUUACAUGCCUUUCUAAAACCCAUAUAUGGCCCAACCUUCAUCAAUAUGCUUUGUCACAAAGAGUUCAAUCAGGCCCGUGAGGCAUGACCUGCUCCUCACAAAACUAUGCUGGCUAUCCCUAAUCAGACUAUAUUUCUCUAAAUGCCCAUAUGUCCUGUCUCUAAGAGUUGUUUCCAAUAAAUUUACCAACACUGAAUAAAACUCACUGAUUCUUAUUCCUAGCGUUGCCCCUAUUUCUUGAACAAAGAAAUAAUAUUUGCCACUCUCCAAUCCUUUGGUACUACUCCUUUGGCCAGUGAGGUUGAAAAGAUCAUUGCCAAUGGCACAGCAAUCUUGUCCCUCACUUCCUGUAGUAUCCCAUUUGUCCCUGGGAACUUACCUAUAGUAAUGUCUUUUUCAAGAGUUCCAGCACAUUCUCUUUCUUAACAUUGACAUUUUCUAAUACUGUACAUCAGCCUAUUUUACAUUGCUCUUACAAACCUCAAGAACCCCUCACUGGUGAAUACUGAAACAAAGUAUUCAUUAAGGACUUCCCCUACCUCCGAUAACUCCAGGCACAUUUCUUCUGCUACGAUCCAUGGCUUUCCCUUGUGCCAUGAUGAGGCCACCCUCAGGGACGAGGAGCAACAUCUUAUAUUCUGUCUGGGACGCCUCCAACCUGAUGGCAUGAAUAUUGAUUUCUCCUUCCUGUAAAAAAAUUUCCCUCCUCUUCCUCUUUUCUUCUAUUCUGCACUCUGGCCUCUUCCCUCUUGUCACCUGCCUAUCAUCUUCCCCUGGGGUCUCCUCCUCCACCCCUUUCUUCUAUGGUCCAUUCUCCUCUCCUAUCAGAUUCCCUCAUCGCCAGACCUUUUUGUUUCCCACCCACCUGGCUUCACCUAUCACCUUCUAGCUAUCCUCCUUCCCCUCAACCCACCUUUUUAAUCCAGCAGCUUUCUCCUUCCUUUCCAAUCCUGAAAAAAGGGUCUUGGCUCAAAACAGCGAAUAUUAUUCCUCUCCAGAAAUGCUGCUUGACCUGUUGCCAACAGCAGUUUGUGUGUGUUGCUUUGGGUUUGGAUUUCCAGCAUCUGUAGAAUUUAUUGUGUUUAUGUUUUCCUCUAAUAUCCUUGGCUGGUCCUACCUUCACUCUAGAUAUCCCCUGUUCUUCGCAUACGUGUUGAUCUCCUUGGGAUUUUUCUUAACAGUUAAUAGUGAUAUGAGGGGUGAUUGAUAUGUUCAUGGCC